This 924-nucleotide ribosomal RNA is filed under the name Didymella segeticola. Its description in RNAcentral is "partial large subunit ribosomal RNA". It matches the Rfam family "Eukaryotic large subunit ribosomal RNA", at positions 23 to 965 of the family's 3401-position model. Lineage: Eukaryota; Fungi; Ascomycota; Dothideomycetes; Pleosporales; Didymellaceae. The record is from RNAcentral.
ACCCGCUGAACUUAAGCAUAUCAAUAAGCGGAGGAAAAGAAACCAACAGGGAUUGCCCUAGUAACGGCGAGUGAAGCGGCAACAGCUCAAAUUUGAAAUCUGGCGUCUUUGGCGUCCGAGUUGUAAUUUGCAGAGGGCGCUUUGGCAUUGGCAGCGGUCCAAGUUCCUUGGAACAGGACGUCACAGAGGGUGAGAAUCCCGUACGUGGUCGCUAGCCUUUACCGUGUAAAGCCCCUUCGACGAGUCGAGUUGUUUGGGAAUGCAGCUCUAAAUGGGAGGUAAAUUUCUUCUAAAGCUAAAUACUGGCCAGAGACCGAUAGCGCACAAGUAGAGUGAUCGAAAGAUGAAAAGCACUUUGGAAAGAGAGUUAAAAAGCACGUGAAAUUGUUGAAAGGGAAGCGCUUGCAGCCAGACUUGCCUGUAGUUGCUCAUCCAGGUUUCUACCUGGUGCACUCUUCUAUAGGCAGGCCAGCAUCAGUUUGGGCGGUUGGAUAAAGGUCUCUGUCAUGUACCUCUCUUCGGGGAGAACUUAUAGGGGAGACGACAUGCAACCAGCCUGGACUGAGGUCCGCGCAUCUGCUAGGAUGCUGGCGUAAUGGCUGUAAGCGGCCCGUCUUGAAACACGGACCAAGGAGUCUAACAUCUAUGCGAGUGUUUGGGUGUCAAGCCCGAGCGCGUAAUGAAAGUGAACGGAGGUGGGAACCUUUCGGGGUGCACCAUCGACCGAUCCUGAUGUCUUCGGAUGGAUUUGAGUAAGAGCAUAGCUGUUGGGACCCGAAAGAUGGUGAACUAUGCUUGAAUAGGGUGAAGCCAGAGGAAACUCUGGUGGAGGCUCGCAGCGGUUCUGACGUGCAAAUCGAUCGUCAAGUUUGGGCAUAGGGGCGAAAGACUAAUCGAACUAUCUAGUAGCUGGUUCCUGCCGAA